UACGUAGGGUGCAAGCGUUGUCCGGAAUUAUUGGGCGUAAAGAGCUCGUAGGCGGUCUGUCGCGUCGGCUGUGAAAACUCGGGGCUCAACCCCGAGCCUGCAGUCGAUACGGGCAGACUAGAGUGCGGUAGGGGAGACUGGAAUUCCUGGUGUAGCGGUGAAAUGCGCAGAUAUCAGGAGGAACACCGGUGGCGAAGGCGGGUCUCUGGGCCGUAACUGACGCUGAGGAGCGAAAGCGUGGGGAGCAAACAGG
Molecule: ribosomal RNA, 253 nt
Filed under: uncultured bacterium
Lineage: Bacteria
Description: partial 16S ribosomal RNA
Rfam family: Bacterial small subunit ribosomal RNA
Source: RNAcentral